Molecule: small nuclear RNA, 108 nt
Organism: Malus domestica (apple)
Lineage: Eukaryota; Viridiplantae; Streptophyta; Magnoliopsida; Rosales; Rosaceae
Source: RefSeq, a predicted model, not a curated record
GUUCCUUCGGGAACAUUCUACAAAAUUAGAACGAUGCAAUGAAGAUUAGUAUGACUCUUGUGCAAGGAUGACAUGCAUGAAUUGAGAGUUAGCAUAUAAUCAAUUAUU